AGAGUUUGAUCAUGGCUCAGAAUCAACGCUGGCGGCGUGCCUAACACAUGCAAGUCGAACGAGAAAGUGGAGCAAUCCAUGAGUAAAGUGGCGCACGGGUGAGUAACACGUGACUAACCUACCCUUGAGUGGGGAAUAACUAGGAGAAAUCUUAGCUAAUACCGCAUAACACCUACGGGUCAAAGGAGCAAUUCGCUUAAGGAGGGGGUCGCGGCAGAUUAGUUAGUUGGCGGGGUAAUGGCCCACCAAGACGGUGAUCUGUAUCCGGCCUGAGAGGGCGCACGGACACACUGGAACUGAAACACGGUCCAGACUCCUACGGGAGGCAGCAGUGGGGAAUUUUGCGCAAUGGGGGAAACCCUGACGCAGCAACGCCGCGUGGAGGAUGAAGUCCCUUGGGACGUAAACUCCUUUCGAUCGGGACGAUAAUGACGGUACCGAGAGAAGAAGCCCCGGCUAACUUCGUGCCAGCAGCCGCGGUAAUACGAGGGGGGCGAGCGUUGUUCGGAAUUAUUGGGCGUAAAGGGUGCGUAGGCGGUUCGGUAAGUCUUAUGUGAAAUCUUCGGGCUCAACUCGAAGUCUGCAUGAGAAACUGCCGGGCUUGAGUAUGGGAGAGGUGAGUGGAAUUUCCGGUGUAGCGGUGAAAUGCGUAGAUAUCGGAAGGAACACCUGUGGCGAAAGCGGCUCACUGGACCAUAACUGACGCUGAUGCACGAAAGCUAGGGGAGCAAACAGGAUUAGAUACCCUAGUAGUCC
Molecule: ribosomal RNA, 756 nt
Filed under: uncultured bacterium
Lineage: Bacteria
Description: bacterial SSU rRNA
Rfam family: Bacterial small subunit ribosomal RNA
Source: RNAcentral